RNAcentral lists this ribosomal RNA (474 nucleotides) under uncultured soil bacterium. RNAcentral describes it as "bacterial SSU rRNA". It matches the Rfam family "Bacterial small subunit ribosomal RNA", at positions 26 to 506 of the family's 1533-position model. The record is from RNAcentral.
AGGACGAACGCUGGCGGCGUGCUUAACACAUGCAAGUCGAGCGGAAAGGCCCUUCGGGGUACUCGAGCGGCGAACGGGUGAGUAACACGUGAGUAAUCUGCCCAUCGCUUCAGGAUAGCCAUCGGAAACGGUGAUUAAUACUGGAUAUGACAUUCCUUCGCAUGUUGGGGUGUGGAAAGUUUUUUCGGCGGUGGAUGUGCUCGCGGCCUAUCAGCUUGUUGGUGGGGUAAUGGCCUACCAAGGCUUUGACGGGUAGCCGGCCUGAGAGGGUGACCGGCCACACUGGGACUGAGACACGGCCCAGACUCCUACGGGAGCAGCAGUGGGAAUAUUGGACAAUGGGCGGAAGCCUGAUCCAGCAACGCCGCGUGAGGAUGACGGCCUUCGGGUUGUAAACCUCUUCAGCACAGUACGAAGUUUGUCUUUUUGGUGUAAGUGACGGUAUGUGCGAGAAGAAGGACCGCCGAACUACGU